GGGGAAUAUUGCACAAUGGGCGCAAGCCUGAUGCAGCAACGCCGCGUGAAGGAUGAAGGCCUUCGGGUUGUAAACUUCUGUCCUAGGGGAAGAAACAAAUGACAUUACCCUUGGAGGAAGCCCCGGCUAACUACGUGCCAGCAGCCGCGGUAAUACGUAGGGGGCGAGCGUUAUCCGGAAUUAUUGGGCGUAAAGAGUGCGUAGGUGGCACCUUAAGCGCAGGGUUUAAGGCAAUGGCUCAACCAUUGUUCGCCUUGCGAACUGGGGUGCUUGAGUGCAGGAGGGGAAAGUGGAAUUCCUAGUGUAGCGGUGAAAUGCGUAGAUAUUAGGAGGAACACCAGUGGCGAAGGCGACUUUCUGGACUGUUACUGACACUGAGGCACGAAAGCGUGGGGAGCAAACAGGAUUAGAUACCCUGGUAGUCCACGCCGUAAACGAUGAGCACUAGGUGUCGGGGUCGCAAGACUUCGGUGCCGCAGUUAACGCAUUAAGUGCUCCGCCUGGGGAGUACGCACGCAAGUGUA
This 524-nucleotide ribosomal RNA is filed under the name uncultured bacterium. RNAcentral's name for it is "bacterial SSU rRNA". It matches the Rfam family "Bacterial small subunit ribosomal RNA", at positions 356 to 896 of the family's 1533-position model. The record is from RNAcentral.